RNAcentral lists this ribosomal RNA (316 nucleotides) under uncultured eukaryote. RNAcentral's name for it is "partial 18S ribosomal RNA". It matches the Rfam family "Eukaryotic small subunit ribosomal RNA", at positions 1470 to 1796 of the family's 1831-position model. The record is from RNAcentral.
CCCUUAGAUGUUCUGGGCCGCACGCGUGCUACACUGACCGGCGCAACAAGUUUCUUUCCUUGGCUCGAUAGGCCUGGGUAAUCUUUGAACGCCGGUCGUGAUGGGGAUAGAUCCUUGCAAUUUUUGAUCUUCAACGAGGAAUUCCUAGUAAAUGCGAGUCAUCAUCUCGCGUUGAUUACGUCCCUGCCCUUUGUACACACCGCCCGUCGCACCUACCGAUUGAAUGGUCCGGUGAAGCCUCGGGAUUGCGAAUGCUUCGUGCGGACGCGAGGACUUGGCUAAACCUUACCAUUUAGAGGAAGGUGAAGUCGUAACA